Diabrotica virgifera virgifera (western corn rootworm) is the source of this 1399-nucleotide long non-coding RNA. RefSeq lists it as uncharacterized. The record is from RefSeq and is a predicted model, not a curated record. Lineage: Eukaryota; Metazoa; Arthropoda; Insecta; Coleoptera; Chrysomelidae. The transcript has 2 exons.
AUAGAGUGAGCCCUCACUCCGCCACCACUGACGACAAGAUCUCUUCGACUGGUUUGCGGUAUCUCUUUCUAGCACAAUGUAUCGAGAAACAUAACAUGAAACUAAGUGGGGGUACGGGACGGCAAGUGAAAUAAGGUGAAUUACUUUAUUCUUCUUUUUUCUUUAAUUAUUAUGACAAGUGACAAGACAACAUAACCCAAAUAAUUUAAUCCGGCCCUAUUUCUAUUUUUGAACAAAAUGUUGGAAAUAUCUUAGUUUAUUUUUAGUUCUAGCUUAUUUAUGGCUAGAUUGAAAAUCUGAAUUUUCUAAUAUUGGUUCAUGAUUAUCAUCAGGGACUUGAUUCGGUUCUUAAACAGGAUCUCUUUUAGUCCCAAUCACUGCAGCAGUGGAGCUAUGUUUUUAUUUUCACUGUGCUAGUAGAUGGCGAAUAAAUCGUUUAAUUUUCAAUAUUUUUUUAUGAAAAUUGUUUCACAUGUACUUUUUAUAACAAAUGUUCAGUAGUAAUAACCCGAGGACAUUGAUAAUUGUUCGAAAAAAUUUUAUAACAGAUUUCGAAAGCUUGUUGCUUGGAAACAGACCGACGCCGUAGGCGGAGGUCUGUUGCCUGUAAGCAACAAGCUUGAGAAAGUUGUUAAAAGAUUUUUGAGCAUUUAUCAAUGUUCGAGGGUUAUUCGGAUAGAAAAUUUUUUGCUGAUAUAAAAUUAAUAAUAAUUUCAUUAAUAUUCUCAUCAGUAUUACAACCAAAUCGUGACAUUUUGAAAUAUUGAAUAUUUGAAAUGUCAAAAUCGAAAUGAAACGAAAUGUAGGUAUCCAUAGCUACAUGAUUGAGUGAAAACAGCCCAUGGGAUCUGUUUUCAGUAUAAUGUUGGUUUUAUUGGUUGUAUUCAAUCAGAUGACCACAAAUUAAUUGAUUUCAUUGGAUUUCUAAUUGAGCAAAAAAUUUUCAAAAUAAUUGUUACAGUACUUUUUAUUUUAGAAAUUCCCAAAAAAGUAUAUGAAUUUCAUACUUUUACACUAGGAUAGCCCCUUAAGAAAGGUAAAUUUCUAGAGCUGCCUAAAGACAGCCAUCAUUAUUCCUCUUCAUAAGGGUGGUGAAAAAUCUAAUGCCUGCAAUUAUAGACCUAUUGCAUUACUACUGGUACUCUCAAAUAGGACUCAUAUUACACAAGUAUAAAAACUUGUUGCUGGUAUGAGCACAUUGUGUAAAUGUUAGGAUUUAAAGAGGAUAUAAAAACCAAUACAAUUAUGAGCGUUAGUCUCUUUAUAUCCUAACAUUUUUUUUGUUAUUGUUUUAGUUUAUUAUUGUUUUAUUGUGUUUAUUAUUGUUUUUUAUGACUCUGUAAGUUUUGUGUAUAAAUUGUACAAUUUUCCAUGACAAUAAAGCAUUUUUCUAUUCUAA